UCAAAACAAGAGUCAAAACUCAAUAAGUUGUUUAUGUACAGAAUAGAACCUACGGAAUAUUUCAAGUCUUCUCGUAGCGUACAAGGGAUUGUUCGAAAACAAGUAAUUGCAUGAGAAAAAUGGCGGUUAAGCAAUCUUUGAAAAAACAAGUCACAAGGGUAAGAAGCUUUUAUUGCAAGUUUGGAAGUAGCUCAACAAACAAUAACCAAAACGAGUACUAAAAGCUGCCCUCUUAUGGUUCUGCACCACUAUGAUUUCACUCUACAUCCCUGCUAUCAG
Molecule: unclassified non-coding RNA, 279 nt
Filed under: Hevea brasiliensis (rubber tree)
Lineage: Eukaryota; Viridiplantae; Streptophyta; Magnoliopsida; Malpighiales; Euphorbiaceae
Source: RNAcentral